GAGCUCUUUGGUCGACUCUCCUUGUGACUUCUCUAUUUCUUCCCUGUGAUCUUCAACUAGUAGGGCCUCCAUUGGCUUUUUCUCUUUGAUGGUGGCAAGGAAGCAUUGCCAAGCAAGCAUCUAAUCUUCUCGAAUUUUUUCUACUCCACUUUGAGUCAAGGAAUUGAACCAGCAAUGGUAUGUGGAGAUGAUUGCUUAGAAUGCAUUGAGUCUUAAUCAUCCAAGAAUUGUAU
RNAcentral lists this long non-coding RNA (233 nucleotides) under Elaeis guineensis (African oil palm). Its description in RNAcentral is "long non-coding RNA (EGUI_LNC029146)". Lineage: Eukaryota; Viridiplantae; Streptophyta; Magnoliopsida; Arecales; Arecaceae. The record is from RNAcentral.